RNAcentral lists this long non-coding RNA (516 nucleotides) under Prunus persica (peach). RNAcentral's name for it is "long non-coding RNA (PPER_LNC005127)". The record is from RNAcentral. Lineage: Eukaryota; Viridiplantae; Streptophyta; Magnoliopsida; Rosales; Rosaceae.
GAAAACUCAAACUAUGUUUGUCUUGGCUUUUGCUCCCUCUCGUUUUCAGAAGACUUAUUUUCUAAGUCUAAACUUUGGAAUUCUGAUCUAAAGCUUGUUUUUCUCUUGGGAUCCAAGUGAGCUUUUGAUUGUUUUUUUUGUUUAUUUUUUUGAUUGGUUGAUGAAUUGAGUGUCCUUUGUUUCUUUGCCUACUUUCGUUUUUAUAAGAGAUCCUCCUAAGGAGGUAAUUUUUAAUCCUAAAUAAUGGGCGGCAAAAAGAUCUCUUAUAAUGUAAAGUAAGAAGGGUUUCUUAUCAAUCAAGGCAGAUAGGUUCUGAGCAGUCACCUCCUAAAGCAGUCCCUUCCCUGGUUUCCUGGGUGGCAGCUUUCUAAUUCAACUAACGCCACCUUCUGUGUGGGCUUUUUUAUGGCGGUUUGGCUCUUUUUCUUUUGUAUUUUCUGAAUGGUUCCCUGUUUCCCGCUCUAAUUUAGAAAGCGUGAUCCGUGAAUUCCUUGGGAGAUGGUGUAUUGAUUUGGA